AUACGGAGGAUGCGAGCGUUAUCCGGAUUUAUUGGGUUUAAGGGGAGCGUAGGUGGGAUAUUAAGUCAGCUGUGAAAGUUUGGGGCUCAACCUUAAAAUUGCAGUUGAUACUGGUUUCCUUGAGUACGGUACAGGUGGGCGGAAUUCGUGGUGUAGCGGUGAAAUGCUUAGAUAUCACGAAGAACUCCGAUCGCGAUGGCAGCUCACCGGGCCGGAACUGACACUGAUGCUCGAAAGUGCGGGUAUCAAACAGGAUUAGAUACCCUGGUAGUCCGCACAGUAAACGAUGAAUACUCGCUGUUUGCGAUACACGGUAAGCGGCCAAGCGAAAGCGUUAAGUAUUCCACCUGGGGAGUACGCCGGCAACGGUGAAACUCAAAGGAAUUGACGGGG
This 393-nucleotide ribosomal RNA is filed under the name uncultured bacterium. Its description in RNAcentral is "partial 16S ribosomal RNA". It matches the Rfam family "Bacterial small subunit ribosomal RNA", at positions 523 to 918 of the family's 1533-position model. The record is from RNAcentral.